Molecule: ribosomal RNA, 561 nt
Filed under: uncultured Nocardioides sp.
Lineage: Bacteria; Bacillati; Actinomycetota; Actinomycetes; Propionibacteriales; Nocardioidaceae
Description: bacterial SSU rRNA
Rfam family: Bacterial small subunit ribosomal RNA
Source: RNAcentral
AGAGUUUGAUCCUGGCUCAGGACGAACGCUGGCGGCGUGCUUAACACAUGCAAGUCGAGCGGUAAGGCACUUCGGUGUACACGAGCGGCGAACGGGUGAGUAACACGUGAGUAAUCUGCCCUUCACUCUGGGAUAAGCACUCGAAAGGGUGUCUAAUACCGGAUACGACACGGUCUUGCAUGAGAUCCGUGUGGAAACUUUUAUGGGUGGGGGAUGUGCUCGCGGCCUAUCAGCUUGUUGGUGGGGUAAUGGCCUACCAAGGCUUCGACGGGUAGCCGGCCUGAGAGGGUGACCGGCCACACUGGGACUGAGACACGGCCCAGACUCCUACGGGAGGCAGCAGUGGGGAAUAUUGGACAAUGGGGCGGAAGCCUGAUCCAGCAACGCCGCGUGAGGGAUGACGGGCUUCGGGUUGUAACCUCUUUCAGUAUUGACGAAGCCCCCGUGUUGGGNUGUGACGGUAGGUACAGAAGAAGCANCGGCCAACACGUGCCAGCAGNCGNGGUNAAUACGUAGGGUGNGANNCGUUUUUCCGGAAUUAUUNGGGCGUUAAAAGGGCUC